GAUCUGAACCACAUCUGUGACCUAUGCCGCAGCUUGCAGCAACACCAGAUCCUUAACUGACUGAGGAGGCCAAGAAUCGAACUCCCAUCCUCAUGGAGACUACAUUGGGUCCUUAACCUGCUGAGCCGCAACAGGAACUCCUAAGUGUUCUAGCUAUCCAAAUGAGAGGCUUUGGGAUGAGAACCUGCCCUAACUAUGGAACUAGUGAAAUGCAGAAAAACAGUCACAAGAAUGCCUUGAACAAAAAGAUGGGAAAUGUGUCAGCUAUCCUUUGAUUAACCUAGGAAGGCUACCAGGAAGAAAAGUUAUUUACUUGAUAUUUGAGGAAUAUUAAUGUUGUCAUCAGGACAUGUUGGAGGAGAUUGGCUCUGGCUGCUACAAGAUGCUCAAGGAGAAGAUUUCUGACUAGAGACUCCUGAUUGCCAAGUCUCUGAGGAAGGCAUGAAGGGGUUUACAACAUUUGUAGUGUCAAGGGCCCUAUUGACAGUCUAGUGGCACCUAUGGAACCCUUCCUAAGAAUGAUGUUCCUUCAACCAUAAAAAAGAACAAAAGAAUGCCAUUUGCAGCCACAUGGAUGGAACUAGAGACUCUCUUACUAAGUGAAGUAAGUCAGAAAGAGAAAGACAAAUACCAUAUGAUACCACUUAUAUCUGGAAUCUAAAACAUGGUGCAAAGGAACCUUUCCACAGAAAAGAAAAACAUGGACUUGGAGAACAGACUUGUGGGAGGGGGAGGGAGUAGGAUGGACUGGGAGUUUGGGGUUAAUAGCUGCAAGCUAUUGCCUUUGGAAUGGAUAAGCAAUGAGAUCCUGCUGUAUAACACUGGGAACUAUAUCUAGUCACUUACGAUGGAGCAUGAUAAUGUGAGAAAAAAGAAUAUAUAUAUGCAUGUGUAACUGGGUCACCUUGCUGUACAGUAGAAAAUUGACAGAACUUAAGUCUCGGUGCCCAGCCCCCACCUGAGCAUCUCAGGCUGUGGUGUCUGAGCCAGUGGUUCAGAAGAUCUGUGUCUCUCACUCUGCUUUUUGGUUCUCAGACCUGCUGCUGUGCUUUUCUCGGCAUCUUGGGGAUCCCUCCGACUCGGCUGAUCUUUCCAUUGGUCAGGUGGCUUCCCAGGGUGUGGGAUUCUUUUCUCCUUUACUGCUCCCUCUUGGGAGUGCUAGUCCUGUCCUGAUUCCUUUUCUCUCUCUCUUUUUUUCUUUUUUUCUACCCAGUUAUAUCAAGGGUUUCUUGCCCUUUUUGGAGGUUUAAGUUCUUCUGCCGGCGUUCAGUGGAUGUUCUGUGUGCGUCGUUUUACAUGUAGAUUCAUUUCUUUGAUGUGUUUGUGGGAGAAGGUGAGCACAUCCUCCUACUCAAGAAAAAAGAGUGUAUACAUGUAUGAGUAACCGGGUCACUAUGCUGUACAGUAGAAAAAAAUUAUAUUGGGGAAAGAACAAUAAAAAAUAAAAUAAGAAAAUUGACAGAACACUGUAAACCAGCUAUAAUGGAAAAAAUAAAAAAGAAUGAUGUUCUUAAAUGCAAAAAGUAAAAUACAUACUAUUUUAGAGGAAUCCUAUUAUAUUAAAACAUAUGCAAAUAUUUUUAACUUCAUAUGUUAAUACAUAAGGUGUUAGUUAAUUACCACAUUAAAUAUAAGACCCAGCAAAUGGAAUUUUUUUUUUCAUUUUCUUUUUUUUUUUUUUUCUUUUCCCACUGUACAGCAAGGGGGUCAGGUUAUCCUUACAUGUAUACAUUGCAAUUACAUUUUUUCCCCCACCCUUUCUUCUGUUGCAACAUGAGUAUCUAGACAAAGUUCUCAAUGCUAUUCAGCAGGAUCUCCUUGUAAAUUAAGUUGUGUCUGAUAAGCCCAGGCUCCCGAUCCCUCCCACUCCCUCCCCCUCCCAUCAGGCAGCCACAAGUCUCUUCUCCAAGUCCAUGAUUUUCUUUUCUGAGAUGUUCAUUUGUGCUGGAUAUUAGAUUCCAGUUAUAAGUGAUAUCAUAUGGAAUUUAAAACGUGAUAACUUCACCGUGAUGAGCAGCAUUAACAAUAUUCUGAUGGAGUUCCCAUUGUGGCGCAGCGGAAGCAAAUCUGACUGGUAUCCAUGAGGACUUGGGUUUGAUUCCUGGCCUCACUCAGUGGACUAAGGAUCCAGCAUUGCUGUGAGCUGUGGUGUGGGUCACAGACACGGCUUGGAUCCCAUGUUGCUGUGGCUGUGAUGCAGGCUCCAACUCGACCCCUAGCCUGGGAACUUCUAUAUGCUGUGGGUGUGGCCCUAAAAGCAAAAAACAAAACAAAACCCCCAUAUUUUGAAGUAUCUACUAUCAUUUCUUUUUUAAAAUUGAAGUGUCGUUGAUUUACAAUGUUUCAGAUGUACAGCAAAGUGAUUCGGUUAUAUGUAUAUACAUUACUGCAGUUUCUUAAUGUGAUAUGAAAAUAUUGAUGAUUCUAUUUUUGAAAAACUCAUGUGCACUGCUAAAAUUACUGUGCUCUGCUGUCUACAUUCAUAAUCUAAGGAAUUUCAGUUAGAGAAAAAAGAUGUAUUUUUUCCAUCUAUAUUUAGAGAUUAAGUUAUAUCCUCCGUAGUUUGGGGGACCUGAGUUCAAGAACCCCUAUAUUAAGUUAUCAGCUCCCCAGACUUCAUUUUGCAACUCAGACCCUAUGUAGCUGUUUAAUUGUUGCAAGGGCUCCCAAGGCUCAGUCUGGCGCCUUCUCUUGAAUUCAUUCAACUUUUGGCUUUUAAGCAGGCAGUUCCAUAUGGACAUGAAGACUUCUAGUCUAGAAUUAGAAAGAUUCUGAGCGGCUCUGGGAAAGAGGGUUCAGUGGAGGUGUUGGCUCUGUGGCUCCCUCAGUUUCUCUCUCUGGAGCAGAGUUUUCCCGUUGUGGUGCAGCGGAAAUGAAUCCAACUAGGAACCAUGAGGUUGCGGGUUCAAUCCCAGGCCUCGAUCAGUGGUUAAGGAUCCGGCAUUGCCAUGAGCUGUGGUGUGGGUUGCAGGUGCAGCUAGGAUCCCGUGUUGCUGUGGCUGUGGCUGUGGCCGGCAGCUGUAGCUCCAAUUCGACCCCUAGCCUGGGAACCUCCAUAUACUGUGGGUGUGGCCC
RNAcentral lists this long non-coding RNA (3075 nucleotides) under Sus scrofa (pig). Its description in RNAcentral is "lncRNA (ENSSSCG00000049557.1)". Lineage: Eukaryota; Metazoa; Chordata; Mammalia; Artiodactyla; Suidae. The record is from RNAcentral.